Molecule: long non-coding RNA, 573 nt
Organism: Oryza sativa Japonica Group (Japanese rice)
Lineage: Eukaryota; Viridiplantae; Streptophyta; Magnoliopsida; Poales; Poaceae
Source: RefSeq, a predicted model, not a curated record
GGCAACAGCUUUACUCUCUCCACCGUAUUCGGAUCGAGAGCUACUAUUGUCGAUUGACCACGGCAGCGGCAUUCAUCGAUCGGCGAUUUGCUGCGGCACGGCCUUUGUCCACGCGGCGGCGGCGACCGCCACACUCGCCAGCCGAAGGAGCAGCGAGGCAACUGCACCACGGCGCACCGCUAGCUAUGACUCCUGGCCACCGGUGUUGAUACGAUGAAGAACGACGGUUGAUCGGGCGGGAUGCAGGAUCAGCCAUCUGGGUUUCUCCGACGAGCCUGGUGAAUACUAAAAUCCAUACACGGCAACAGACUUGCAUAAGAUGCGUGACAUAUACCAAGGAUCGAUGGUGGCCAACGCCCGACAGUAUAUGAAUUGCCGAUUUGCCAGUAUUAAUUAAAAUUCUGUCCAAAGCAGCUUGUGCAGUUCGAGAAUUGGGUAUAUUGUAGAUUCAUUUAUUUCUUUUUCAGAAUGGCUAAAUGUAUCAUGUGAAUCCAUAUACUGCCUGGAUUGCAAAUUCUAUUGUGAACAUAAUAUGAUUCAAUUUAUUCUAAAUCGGGUAUUGUAAAACAACUA